Molecule: ribosomal RNA, 253 nt
Filed under: uncultured bacterium
Lineage: Bacteria
Description: partial 16S ribosomal RNA
Rfam family: Bacterial small subunit ribosomal RNA
Source: RNAcentral
UACAGGGGGUGCAAACGUUGCUCGGAAUUAUUGGGCGUAAAGCGCACGUAGGCGGUUUGCUAUGUCGGAUGUGAAAGCCCUUGGCUUAACUGAGGAAGUGCAUCCGAAACUGGCAAGCUAGAGUACCAAAGAGAGUCGCGGAAUUCCCGGUGUAGAGGUGAAAUUCGUAGAUAUCGGGAGGAACACCGGUGGCGAAGGCGGCGACCUGGGUGGAUACUGACGCUGAGGUGCGAAAGCGUGGGGAGCAAACAGG